UACGAGGGGGGCGAGCGUUGUUCGGAAUUAUUGGGCGUAAAGCGCGCGCAGGUGGUUUCUUAAGUCUGAUGUGAAAGCCCACGGCUCAACCGUGGAGGGUCAUUGGAAACUGGGAGACUUGAGUGCAGAAGAGGAAAGUGGAAUUCCAUGUGUAGCGGUGAAAUGCGUAGAGAUAUGGAGGAACACCAGUGGCGAAGGCGACUUUCUGGUCUGUAACUGACACUGAGGCGCGAAAGCGUGGGGAGCAAACAGG
This 253-nucleotide ribosomal RNA is filed under the name uncultured bacterium. RNAcentral describes it as "partial 16S ribosomal RNA". It matches the Rfam family "Bacterial small subunit ribosomal RNA", at positions 524 to 776 of the family's 1533-position model. The record is from RNAcentral.